RNAcentral lists this ribosomal RNA (301 nucleotides) under uncultured bacterium. RNAcentral describes it as "partial 16S ribosomal RNA". It matches the Rfam family "Bacterial small subunit ribosomal RNA", at positions 509 to 809 of the family's 1533-position model. The record is from RNAcentral.
CAGUCGCCGCGGGAACACGGAGGAUCCAAGCGUUAUCCGGAAUCAUUGGGUUUAAAGGGUCCGUAGGCGGUCUUGUAAGUCAGUGGUGAAAGCCCAUCGCUCAACGGUGGAACGGCCAUUGAUACUGCAGGACUUGAAUUAUUGGGAAGUAACUAGAAUAUGUAGUGUAGCGGUGAAAUGCUUAGAGAUUACAUGGAAUACCAAUUGCGAAGGCAGGUUACUACCAAUUGAUUGACGCUGAUGGACGAAAGCGUGGGUAGCGAACAGGAUUAGAUACCCCCGUAGUCCCUGUCUCUUAUAA